CUCACGAUUUACGUUUCAGAGAGCUAGAUUUUGAAAUUUCUCAGCUCCCCCGCAUUCGCUCCUCUGCCCGGUGCCCCGAGUUCUCCUCUUUGCGCAGCUUCAUCUUCCUCUUCAUCUAUCCCUGCUCGUGUCCUACAAAUUGCUAAAGUCUUCUUAUUCUUCUCUCCCUGCUUGCGCUUCUUCUUCCUCUUCUUGAAAUUUGUUUGGGCGACCCUUAGCCCAACGUCCCAGGUAACUUUCGAGAUUUUUUCUCUUCAUUCACUUUUUGGUUGGGUACGAAAGGAGGUGAAGGGAGGCCACAAAGUUUGUGUUGUGAAUUUUGUGAGUUGGGUAUUGAAACUUUUGGGGCUUAGGGUUGUCUGAUGUACGCCUUGUUGAAGCCCUUGACCGGGCUCUACGUUCCUCAACACUGUUCAUUGAGAAACACUUACAAUUUCUUGCUUCUCUGAGACGUCUUCCUUUAAAUCCUGCAGUUCAUUGGAGAAAGGUCAGAUUUACACUUUUCGAGUUGGCUCUAGUCAGGUGAGCUCUAGAAGUGUUCCUAAUCCUUUGUGAUUUACAGGUCACCGGGAAAAAGAAUCAAUGUUAAUUUUGCUUUCAUUUUAUUAAUUCAAACCAUUUCUCUCGAGUUCUUAAAAAAAAAAAAUACGUUGCAUUUUGUUUGGUUCAGUCUAAGCAAUCUUGGUAUUUUUUUUCUGCCCACACUCCUAAUUUUGAACUGUUAACUUGCGUAUAAGCUUUUGUAUACCAUCAUUAAGUUGGUUACUUGCACACUCCUAAUUUAGUUUCUCCGCCUUACUUAAUAAUAAAUAAAUAAAGUAGGUUCUCCACCUUUCUGGUUUUACAGUCAGUAAUCAUAGGACGGUAAUGCAUGUUUGAUCUCACAAGAAGGAAAAAAGAAGCUAAAUAAAUAAAUUACUAAAGAGAUCCAUGUAAUGGUGAUAAGCAUACUCCAUCAUGGGUAAAUUGAAAAAUUUUAUACUGGAAGCUGCUACAUGUUUUUAGAUCUUAAAUGGUAUCCUUACUUUAUCCAUAUUGCUAUUGAAAAUUUGAAAGAAGACCUACUCGCUUUAAAUGGACAAACUUUUCAUGCUUGUGCUCACUGUAAAUUCUGCUACUGCUUUACUGAUUAUAAUCUAAAUGGUAAAACAAGUGAUCAAGGGACUUGAUGACGGGAUCCUGAGCAUGAAAGCAGGAGGAAAGCGUCGACUUUUCAUCCCAGGAUCAGAAAUUUAGGGACAUAUAGUCCCAUCUGCGGGGAUUGAAUCCCAAAUCAGAUACCAUACCUGUGGGACUGAUGGAAGGCCAGGGCCUAUUGGCAUUAGAAUUCAUAUUUACCUUGCUUUUUAUGGCAUGAGUCAGCAAUGCAGAUUCAAAAUUUUCGCCAUGCUACUCAUCCAAGAGAUGGAACAUCUAGAACAUUUAAGAGGGGAAUGAGAAAGAGUUAUGACAGUGUUAAUACAGUGUUAAGACGGUUAUAUUUCACUUCAUCGAAAAUGUAUGUGAAUUUAUUGAUUCACAGUUUUUCCUUGAAAGAGUAGUCCUCUUUAUUUGCUUUUCUUUUAUUUUUCCUUUCUCUUAUUAUGCCAAAACCACAUACAGAUUGUAUUAUGUUAUUAUUAUUCCGUUUGCAUGAAAUCAAAAACCAGAUACAGACUAUGUUGCAA
This is a long non-coding RNA of Carya illinoinensis, 1667 nucleotides long. RefSeq lists it as uncharacterized. Lineage: Eukaryota; Viridiplantae; Streptophyta; Magnoliopsida; Fagales; Juglandaceae. The record is from RefSeq and is a predicted model, not a curated record. The transcript is spliced from 2 exons.